RNAcentral lists this long non-coding RNA (4477 nucleotides) under Lactuca sativa (garden lettuce). RNAcentral describes it as "long non-coding RNA (LSAT_LNC005961)". The record is from RNAcentral. Lineage: Eukaryota; Viridiplantae; Streptophyta; Magnoliopsida; Asterales; Asteraceae.
UGAUUAAUCCUUAAAAUAAUUUACCCAAAAAGAAUUAUAUAGCAAUGCUAGGAUCCAUAUUUGACUUUAUGGUGUGUAAAAGAUGUCGUAAACACACCACAAAGUUAUUUAGGUAGGCAAUACUCUUUGCCAGUUUUAGUCUCUAUGAAAUUUCUAGAUCUUUUGAAAUUCUUUAACUAUCAAUAACAUGUUAAUCUCAGAUUAUGCUCAUCUCAAUUCUAUGACACAUAUGUCAUGGAUCAUACAAUAAACAAUGAAUCAACCAUGCAAAAUCACAUCAUCCUCGAUUCAAAUUACUCUCACGUUAACGUGUUAGUAAACCACACAUACUCCGUCAAAAUAAUUAUUUCUCAUGAGUUCCACAUCAUUUUCAACUUAUAUUCUCACAUUGAGGUGUUGGUUAAACACACACGCACCGUCAAUAGAAUAUAAAGAGAAUGUGCAUUUUCAUGGGUAACCUAUGAUUCACACUUUGAUUAUAUAAAACGAUAUUUUUUUAAUACUUUUAAGUUGGUACUUUUAGCUUGAAUAUUUUCCUAUCAAACCCUUUUUGUAACUCUACUCUCAAAAUGUAAAGAGGUGGUAAGGUGGUAAGCAGUAAGCUGUUAAAACCCAACCUUAUUAUGAAUAAAAGAUGUCGUAAACACACCACAAAGUUAUUUAGGUUGGCAAUACUCUUUGCCAGUUUUAGUCUCUAUGAAAUUUCUAGAUCUUUUGAAAUUCAUUAACUAUCAAUAACAUGUUAAUCUCAGAUUAUGCUUAUCUCAAUUCUAUGACACAUAUGUCAUGGAUCAUAAAAUAAACGAUGAAUCAACCAUGCAAAAUCACAUCAUCCUUGAUUCAAAUUACACUCACAUUAACGUGCUAGUAAACCACACAUACUCCGUCAAAAUAACUAAUUCUCAUGAGUUCCACAUCAUUUUCAACUUAUACUCUCACAUUGAGGUGUUGGUUAAACACACACGCUCCGUCAAUAGAAUAUAAAGAGAAUGUGCAUUUUCAUGGGUAACAUAUGAUUCACACUUUGAUUAUAUAAAACGAUAUUUUUUAAAUACUUUUAAGUUGGUACUUUUAGCUUGAAUAUUUUCUUAUCAAACCCUUUUCGUAACUCUAUUCUCAAAAUGUAAAGAGGUGGUAAGGUGGUAAGCAGUAAGCUAUUAAAACCCAACCAUAUUAUGAAUAGAAGAGACCUCCUUAAACCUAUCUAUUAACAUUAGAGUAGGUAAACCUGGUCAUGAUAAGAUUUAAAAUAUUUUAUUUAAACAUGUGAGACACAUGUUGUAAUUUUCUUAUACAUAUAUAUAAACUCUUAAUACAUAUACAAGUAAAUUUAAAUAUUUUAAAUUUAGUGCCUUUUAUCAAUUUUAAUUUAUAUGUGAGGACACAAUGUAAAUAAUUAAUUUAAAUUUUAAAUAUUCUAAUUUAUAAAUCGCUAUUAUAAAUAAUAUUCAAAUUUAAUUCAAAUAUUCAAAGUUAAAUCACUUAUUAAAAUAAUAUUAAAUUUUAAGAAGUAUAUCUAAUAAUUUGAAAAAUAAACUAAUUUGUUUUACAUGCAGAACAUGUUAGGAAACUUGUCAAGCAAGUAAAAUAUCAACCCUAUUUUUCGAAAAUAAGGUUAAUUGAUAAACUCUUUAUUAAUUUUUAUUAAAAAAAUUCUAAGAUUAUCUAAUGUUGAUACAUGAAAGUGAACCUCUAGCAAUCCGAAGUCAACCCAUUCCAAAGUGAUGUGCAUUCUGAGGAGUGAUUAGUUUCGAAAUGUAACUACUUAUGAAAUAAAGACAUGUUGGAGAAACACAUUGUAUUCAGUGCUAUUUUUAGUUUGUAUUUGCAUUUAAUGUUUCUUGUAUUUUAAUUCAUGUUUUAUUGUAAAGUUCAUGGGACAAGAUCGAGAAAAUCCUGUGUGUCAGCUUUUUGACUUUUCAGCUUUACAAUCUCCAUGCAGUCUUGUAGUUUGUCUUUUUAUCACUCCUUAUCUAUGUAAGGAGAUGUAAUCUUCAUGCAUGAUAUAGAGAAAUAGAAAGAACAACCUUCUCUUUCACUUCAAUACCUAGUAUCUUUCAUGUCAAAUCAUUCUCUAUAUCAUUCUCACUGUUCUUAAAAUCUCUUUACAUUGUUCAUACUCAUUUUCUUACAUGAAUACUUUGUUGAAUUUCUUACUUUAAGACAAGACUGGUUUACUAGACUUAACUGGAUGUUUAAUAUUAGUAGCAAACAUUGAUAUUAAGUUAAUUCAAGGUCUGAGUUUUCAAACCUUUUCCGCACACAUAUUCUUGCACUUUCAAUUGAUAUUAGAGCCUAAGUAGUUUUCCUUUUAAUCCAUAAGAACAUAUUAUAUUUGAUUUAAGAUUACCUUGGUAUCUCAAUCAUUUCUUUGUUCAAGAUAAAAGUUAUUCUAUAUACCACUUCAGAUCUAAUACUUUAACUUCAAUGGUUGCUUCUAAUCCAUCUCAACAAAUGUAUUCAAUGCAAAUAGCAAAUAGCGUGGGUUUCCCAACCUGUGCCCCAUUUCUAGUUGUUGAAGAGUAUGAUCACUGGAAAGUUAGAAUGGAGAGAUUUUUAGUUAGUAAGGAAAAUGUGAAGAGAUAUGGAGAUCUGUGAAAGAAGGUCCUCACGUUCUCGUAAGACAAGUGGUUAGAGAUGAUACUGCUAUUCUCAUGGGUCAUGAAGAAGAACGUCCAACGCCUCUAACUGCAUUACAUAUCAAAAAGAUUCAUGCAAAUCAUAUUUUCGUUUUCAGAAAUCAUGUUUGGUGUUCCUCCCUCUCUCUUUGAGCACAUAAAAUUGUGCAAAUUUGCCAAAGAGAUUUGGGAUACACUUCAAGACUUGUUCAAAGGUUCUAAGAACAUGAAGGAUAAGCAUUUGACAUCUUUCAUAAACUACUUUGAUACCAUCACCACAACUCCUGGUGAAUAUGUAGCCUCUGCAUCAAAUCAGUACAGGAUUGUUGUAAACUUGACUGCACACGGAAUAGUCAAAACUCCACUUGAGUACAAUCUAAAGUUCAUCAAUAGCCUCGGAAAAGGAUAGGUGAAUGUUAAGUCAUGUCUUCAAUGUAAUGGAUCUCUGAAGAAACUGAAGCUUUAUCAGAUAUUUGGCGAACUGCAAGGCUAUGAAUCUAACGUUGCUCAAACAUUAAGAGAACUUUCAUGAGUUCCACUCGCCUUACUUAGUUCUGUUAACCCACUAAUUACAAAUCCAUCUAUUUCAAAUCCUUUUGGAACUAUCCAACCUGUUUCACUUGUUCAAUCAACACUUCCUACUCCACCUAUCCCACGUGUUCCGAACCAUUCAUUUGAAGAAAAUCUUGAUCUCGAUUUAGCUGAUUAUGAACUUCGCUUCCAACAAGAAUUCACAUUUCUGUAUACGAAGUACAAACAUCCAUUGAAUCCAAGUCAUAAAACGUUUCAAAACUGAUUUCAAGCUCCUCGUUAAAUAAAUCCUCAACCUUUCACUAAACCUACAUAAAAUCCACCGGCAUACUGACCCAACAUCCCAAAUCACUAUUCAGAACCCCAGGAAGUUCCAAAACCAGUCAACCUCAAGAUUGUUUGUCACAAAUGUGGUCUCGGAAACCACUUUGCAAAGGACUGUUUGGCUGAAAUUUCCCAAAAACCAAAGAUAAAAGACUCUGCUAAUGUUGAUGGGUACUAAUCUUCUGGUGAUGAGGGUGAAGAAAUAUCUGCAAGAAACAUGUGUCUUAUGGCUAGAAAUUCAAUUAAAUGUGAUGAAGGAUACUAGUCUUUUGGUUCAAAAGCAGAUGAAGAAGAUGUUGAGCCAAAUUUUUGUUACAUGGUAACAAAUGGUCCAUCAGAGAGAAGCAUCAUCCAGCAGGUAAAAUCCAUGAUCACUAACAAUAAUUUUGAGUUUCUCCCUAGAAAGAACUAAUAUCAGUGAGAAUUUGGAGUGAGGUGGUGGCAAAGGAGGAGGAUGAGGAAGGUUGUUGUCAUUACUGGAAGAAACAUCUACUAAAAAAGUUUUAAUUAGUUUGAUUAAUCCUUAAAAUAAUUUAGCCAAAAAGAAUUAUAUAGCAAUGCUAGGAUCCAUAUUUGAAUUUAUGGUGUGUAAAAGAUGUCGUAAACACACCACAAAGUUAUUUAGGUAGGCAAUACUCUUUGCCAGUUUUAGUCUCUAUGAAAUUUCUAGAUCUUUUGAAAUUCUUUAACUAUCAAUAACAUGUUAAUCUCAGAUUAUGCUCAUCUCAAUUCUAUGACACAUAUGUCAUGGAUCAUACAAUAAACAAUGAAUCAACCAUGCAAAAUCACAUCAUCCUCGAUUCAAAUUACUCUCACGUUAACGUGUUAGUAAACCACACAUACUCCGUCAAAAUAAUUAUUUCUCAUGAGUUCCACAUCAUUUUCAACUUAUAUUCUCACAUUGAGGUGUUGGUUAAACACACACGCACCGUCAAUAGAAUAUAAAGAGAAUGCGCAUUUUCAUGGGUAACCUAUGAUUCACACUUUGAUUAUAUAAAACGAUA